This 552-nucleotide long non-coding RNA is filed under the name Vitis vinifera (wine grape). Its description in RNAcentral is "long non-coding RNA (VVIN_LNC001158)". The record is from RNAcentral. Lineage: Eukaryota; Viridiplantae; Streptophyta; Magnoliopsida; Vitales; Vitaceae.
UGUUUAUCCAUCUAUCAAUCUUGAUCCUAGGACUUGUUAAGGAUUUAAGAUUUAGCAAGUAACAACUUUUUAACUUAUCUUUGAAACUACAAAAAACCCUAACAAAAACACAACCGCACAAAAACGCAACCAUAAAAAAACCCUAAUAAAGAACCUCAAAAAACUUCAACCAAAAUCCCAAACUGAAAUUGCAAAAAACAAAAAAAAAAACAUAGAAAACCUUGACAAAAAAUAAUGCCAAAAAAACCCAACCAAAAAUUGAGAUUGCAAAAAACCAAAAAAACAAAAAUGAUAACAAAAAAAAAAAAAGAACGACAACAACCAUAAAAAUCCCUAACAAAAAACGUCAAAAAACCCUAACAAAAAAUAACUAGAAAUCCUAACAAAAAACAAUUACAAACCCCAACAAAAAACAACUCCAACAAAUCUCAACUAAAAAAAACCACUUUAAAAGAAAAUCAUAAAAACUGUUAAAAGUUUUGAAGAAAAAAGAGAUGAGAGUACUUUGUUCAUUGAUCUUUGAUCUAUUUUCUUUAUUCAAUGAUCUUUUAU